RNAcentral lists this transfer RNA (81 nucleotides) under Nicotiana tabacum (common tobacco). Its description in RNAcentral is "tRNA-Leu (AAG) (tRNA-Leu-AAG-9-1)". It matches the Rfam family "tRNA". Rfam says of the family: Transfer RNA (tRNA) molecules are approximately 80 nucleotides in length. Their secondary structure includes four short double-helical elements and three loops (D, anti-codon, and T loops). Lineage: Eukaryota; Viridiplantae; Streptophyta; Magnoliopsida; Solanales; Solanaceae. The record is from Rfam by way of RNAcentral.
GUUGAUAUGUCCGAGUUGGUCUAAGGCGUCAGAUUAAGGUUCUGGUCAGAAAGGGCGUGUGUUCAAAUCCCACUGUCAACA